CAGAGGGUUUGUGCAAGCUCGCUGGGUGGCGACGCUAGCCACGGUCCCGAGGACCAUGACAUCAAUGAGCUGGCUUUCACCUUGUUCAAGGCAGCAGCGGAACACUAUGGGCGGGACCCUGGGUCGACGCACCAGCCGGCUCAUGGCUGCUGUCCUGUACCCUGCACGGCACUACGUGUGGCUUAACUGGCCAAGCAGAGGGUCAUCGCGUGACUUUUAUGAGGCGUCGCUAGCCAUUGUUUCAAACCGUCCUGAAUCGUGGACCAAGCCUUGCAAGACUUCAC
Molecule: long non-coding RNA, 284 nt
Organism: Ixodes scapularis (black-legged tick)
Lineage: Eukaryota; Metazoa; Arthropoda; Arachnida; Ixodida; Ixodidae
Exons: 3
Source: RefSeq, a predicted model, not a curated record